This 460-nucleotide ribosomal RNA is filed under the name uncultured bacterium. RNAcentral's name for it is "partial 16S ribosomal RNA". It matches the Rfam family "Bacterial small subunit ribosomal RNA", at positions 338 to 795 of the family's 1533-position model. The record is from RNAcentral.
CCUACGGGAGGCAGCAGUGAGGAAUAUUGGUCAAUGGGCUUACGCCUGAACCAGCCAAGUCGCGUGAGGGAAGACUGCCCUAUGGGUUGUAAACCUCUUUUGUCAGGGAGCAACGCCGGCUACGUGUAGCCGGACUGAGAGUACCUGAAGGAAAAGCAUCGGCUAACUCGGUGCCAGCAGACGCGGCAAUACGGAGGAUGCGAGCGUUGUACGGAUGUAGUGGGUUUAAAGGGGGCGUAGGCGGAAUGCCAAGUCAGCGGUAAAAGCGCGGGGCUCAACCUCGCUCCGCCGUUGAAACUGGCGUUCUUGAGUGGGGGAGAGGUAUGCGGAAUUCGUGGUGUAGCGGUGAAAUGCAUAGAUAUCACGAAGAACACCGAUGGCGAAGGCAGCAUAUCGGCGCACAACUGACGCUGAGGCACGAAAGCGUGGGUAUCGAACAGGAUUAGAUACCCCGGUAGUC